Molecule: unclassified non-coding RNA, 378 nt
Filed under: plant metagenome
Description: partial contains 5.8S ribosomal RNA, internal transcribed spacer 2, and large subunit ribosomal RNA
Rfam family: 5.8S ribosomal RNA (bases 1-105)
Source: RNAcentral
GAAAUGCGAUAAGUAAUGUGAAUUGCAGAAUUCAGUGAAUCAUCGAAUCUUUGAACGCACCUUGCGCUCCUUGGUAUUCCUUGGAGCAUGCCUGUUUGAGUAUCAUGAAAUCUUCAAAGUAAAUCUUUUGUUAACUCAAUUGGUUUCUACUUUGGUAUUGGAGGUCUUUGCAGCUUCACACCUGCUCCUCUUUGUUCAUUAGCUGGAUCUCAGUGUUAUGCUUGGUUCCACUCGGCGUGAUAAGUUAUCUAUCGCUGAGGACACUGUAAAAGGUGGCCAAGGUAAAUGCAGAUGAACCGCUUCUAAUAGUCCAUUGACUUGGACAAUACUUUUAUGAUCUGAUCUCAAAUCAGGUAGGACUACCCGAUGAACUUAAGC